This 465-nucleotide ribosomal RNA is filed under the name uncultured bacterium. Its description in RNAcentral is "partial 16S ribosomal RNA". It matches the Rfam family "Bacterial small subunit ribosomal RNA", at positions 28 to 507 of the family's 1533-position model. The record is from RNAcentral.
GACGAACGCUGGCGGCGUGCUUAACACAUGCAAGUCGAACGGAAAGGCCCUGCUUGCAGGGUACUCGAGUGGCGAACGGGUGAGUAACACGUGGGUGCUCUGCCCUGCACUUCGGGAUAAGCCUGGGCAACUGGGUCUAAUACCGGAUAGGAGCCAUUUUUAGUGUGAUGGUUGGAAAGUUUUUUCGGUGUAGGAUGAGCUCGCGGCCUAUCAGCUUGUUGGUGGGGUAAUGGCCUACCAAGGCGGCGACGGGUAGCCGGCCUGAGAGGGUGGACGGCCACAUUGGGACUGAGAUAAGGCCCAGACUCCGACGGGAGGCAGCAGUGGGGAAUAUUGAACAAGGGGCGCAAGCCUGAUGCAGCGACGCCGCGUGGGGGAUGACGGCCUUCGGGUUGUAAACUCCUUGCGCUAGGGACGAAGCUUUUUGUGACGGUACCUAGAUAAGAAGCACCGGCUAACUACGUG